This is a non-coding RNA of Marasmius tenuissimus, 101 nucleotides long. The record is from the annotation of a GenBank genome assembly. NCBI's taxonomy places the organism in Eukaryota, Fungi, Basidiomycota, Agaricomycetes, Agaricales, Marasmiaceae.
ACCCGCCUAGCUCAAUCGGAUAGAGCGUCAGACUCUUAUACCUAGCCGGACCAAGACAAGGGGUGAUCUGAAGGCUGCGAGUUCGACCCUCGCGGUGGGCU